UGCCAUGUGUCAAGCUUAGGAUAUUUUAUUAUUUAACUUAAAAAUCAGCACAAAUCAGCCCAUUAUUCCCCAAAUAUUCGGCCAAGCAAGGAAGAGAGGGAAAGAAAGGAAAAACAAAACCUAGGUGAGGAAUUUCAAGAGAAAAAGUGUGGAAAAUCAAGGAAAACAAGUGAAAAAGGUAUGAUUUUUCAACUUAAGCUUGAAAUCUAUUUUCCUUAAGCAUUUCUCUUUAUUUUCCAUGCUCAAAUUGCAUGUUUUUAUGAUGAAUUGUUGGCUGAUCAAAAUGGGUUAGGAGAGAGAAAGUUGUUGGAUUUAUUUGAUUUUAAUUUAUGUUAGUGUUUUUAGUUAGUUUAGCAUAUUUAGAAACAAAACAACAAGAAAAGAAUUUAUUUUCUCCCACAACCAUUAAUGGCUGAAUUUACCAUGUAGUGAGUGAGGAUGAGUUUGAUUUUAUUCUAGGAGAAUUGGUUAAGGAAUAAUGAAUUAUGAGCCUAGAAAAAUAAUGGGAAUUUUCGGAGCAAAAAUACGAAUUUUUACCCACUAGGGGUAUUUUCGUAAUUUGCUGUUGGGACUGAUAAUUUGCACCACACUGAGGGACAUUAAGUUAAUUUGGGUGCAAUUGAGGUAUAGAAACUGAAAAGAAUUAAAUUGGAGUUUAAACGGACCCGUUAGGAAUUUAAUCGGGUGAUAAGACGAAUUAGGCCAAUACCGGGUUUAGAUAGUUACCAGUGCAUUUUUGCAUUCCAUAUCAUGCAUUGGUAGUCUAAAUUAGUUUAAUUUUGAUUUAGUACCAACUUGGUGAAACUCUCGAUUUUGUACUGUGUCAAGGUGGUGAGUCCUCCGAUAAAGGCAAGGAAAUUGCAUC
Molecule: long non-coding RNA, 865 nt
Filed under: Theobroma cacao (cacao)
Lineage: Eukaryota; Viridiplantae; Streptophyta; Magnoliopsida; Malvales; Malvaceae
Description: long non-coding RNA (TCAC_LNC004407)
Source: RNAcentral